Molecule: ribosomal RNA, 452 nt
Filed under: Shewanella sp. C746
Lineage: Bacteria; Pseudomonadati; Pseudomonadota; Gammaproteobacteria; Alteromonadales; Shewanellaceae
Description: bacterial SSU rRNA
Rfam family: Bacterial small subunit ribosomal RNA
Source: RNAcentral
UAGAGUUUGAUCAUGGCUCAGAUUGAACGCUGGCGGCAGGCCUAACACAUGCAAGUCGAGCGGUAACAUUUCAAAAGCUUGCUUUUGAAGAUGACGAGCGGCGGACGGGUGAGUAAUGCCUGGGAAUUUGCCCAUUUGUGGGGGAUAACAGUUGGAAACGACUGCUAAUACCGCAUACGCCCUACGGGGGAAAGCAGGGGAACUUCGGUCCUUGCGCUGAUGGAUAAGCCCAGGUGGGAUUAGCUAGUAGGUGGGGUAAUGGCUCACCUAGGCAACGAUCCCUAGCUGGUCUGAGAGGAUGAUCAGCCACACUGGGACUGAGACACGGCCCAGACUCCUACGGGAGGCAGCAGUGGGGAAUAUUGCACAAUGGGGGAAACCCUGAUGCAGCCAUGCCGCGUGUGUGAAGAAGGCCUUCGGGUUGUAAAGCACUUUCAGCGAGGAGGAAAGGG